RNA transcript from Rhodamnia argentea, 2134 nucleotides. RefSeq lists it as uncharacterized. The transcript has 9 exons. Lineage: Eukaryota; Viridiplantae; Streptophyta; Magnoliopsida; Myrtales; Myrtaceae. The record is from RefSeq and is a predicted model, not a curated record.
AUCCAAAUCCAAACGGAUAAAAAUGCACGCACACACGGACCAGGAGCUUCACUCCACGGACUCGCCGGUGCUGUACUACUCGGAAAAGGUCGUCGAUGGCCGCUCUCACGAUCGGCAUAGCCGCAAUAGCGAGCAUGACCACCUCCAUAGCCGGCUCCAGAAGCUUUCAACGACUCCGUCACAGGCCGAGAAGAAUCUCCUGCGUCGGAUGGGAUCCGGAAGGCCUUUUCGGACCGCCUCAGACCGGCCACAUCGCCCGCCGCGAGUUCCGCAGGCGGCUCGAGAAGGAUGCCGAGGCUCGCGAGGAGUUCGAGCGCCACGUCCGCCAGGAGAAGGAGCGUCGCCGAGCUGUCCGAGAAUCUCGGGACGUGCCGGAGACUCCGGCGGAGCUGAUCGAGUACUUUCUAGACACCGAGGCUCAGGAACUCGAGUUUGAGAUGGCGAGGAUGAGGCCGCGGUUAAAUGAAGAAUUCUUUGCCCACCUAGAGUUUGAAUUGGGCCAACUUCGAUUUUCUGUUUCAAAAACCCAGGACAUGGAAGACAGAUUGAUUGAGCUGGAAGCUUUGCAGAAGGCUUUGCUUGAGGGGACAGAAGCCUAUGACAAAAUGCAGGUUGACCUUGGAAAAGCGAAGAACAGCCUGACAAAACUUUUGACAUCGAAAGAUGUUAAAGCGACUUUACUAGACAUGGUUGAGCAGAACGAACUGAACAGAUCAUUAUUGACGCUUCUUGAUGAAAAUAUAGCAAAUGCUCAGAAGGGUAACCAGGAAAAAAUCGCAGUUUACAUGGAAAAAAUGCGUGCAGCUGUUCUCAAGUACAUGACAGUCUAAUGCCUGGUCAGUCCAUGCUAUGAUUUCUUGAUGAUGUUCAGUUGACUUCUCUCUCCACAGCACUGCAGGCAAGUCUCCACGGACAACUGAAAUUGGAGUUUUGCUGUUGCCGGUUGAACAUCACAUGGCCACGCUGUGUCUCCCUUUGGGAUCCAUUGGGUUAGUCAGUUUGGAACAAUGUCAGGCUUUGAAGUUAAGCGGCUGCGUUAUGGGCUAGAGUGCCACUGGAUCGAGCAAAAUUUAGUGCCAUUACUUAAUUUUAUAAUUGAAUGAUCUUGGGUGUUGAUUCUUAUUUUCCCCUGAAUUUUGGAUGAAAAAAUUCAGGUAGUGUAUUUCUCGGAUAUAAGCAACAUGUCUUUCAGCGGGACAGGUACAGAGCAUUAUCACUCCUCAACUAACAAAGUCAGUUGCUUCUUGAGAGAACAUUUCGGCCAGUACUCCUGGCAUCUUCUACGCCAGCAUUAGAAUCCAUUCUACUGCAAGUUUCUUUAGUUCCAGUCUAGAAUCUUCAGGACCCCACCUCUCCCUAACGGGCACCGAGUGAAAACCGGGCUCAUCCUCAGUCAAUUUGACUUGUCCAUGAGCCCGGAAUGCUUCCUAACCGGUAUCGCUCCCAGUGCAUUUAUCCACAUACAGAAAACGAACGUCUUCCUGAUGGCAUUUAACUGAUGUUUGGCAUAUAUCUUUGAUGUGAUAUCCCUAUCUAGGACCCAUCUGUUGAGCCAAACUUUUCAGCUGAGAGAAGUUUUGGCACGCCUAUCCUAGCAAUUAAGUCAUCCUGCGCCAAACUAGAAAAGAAGGAAAUGAAGGAGCAUGUAACUCUAGCUGUUCAUAGUUAACUGCAAUUGACGCUUGCUCGGGCGUUUUGCUUAAAGUUCGAUCCCCUUGCUGGCGAUUCCUUUGAUUGACCUCUCGAGUCACAAAAUUUUGUUACUUUGUAACUAUGCGAGUGUAAUUACUUUAAGCGGUUGAGAUUGGACGCCGUGGGGACUAGUUAAUAGUUAAUUGGUAUCGACUGUACCCAUCGAUAUCAAACGAAAAUUUGCAAUUCAUAGAAUUUCUUACACUUGAUUUGAGCGGAAAAGAAUAAAUGCUAAAGUAAAAGACAAAGCAAAAGUAGAAAGCAAAGAAGCUUAUAAAGAGGGGGGGCAGCAAUGAUGGUGCCGCGAGUAUGGGCUCACACUUUAUUGCUGGUUUCAUAGGGCUAGAGGACCGAGCUGGACCGAGCUGGACAUGAACUUGACUAGACUAGAUUUACAUAUUUCAUGCUAGAAACUUGAUUUGAAUUCAAUCGGCUCAAGCUC